UUGACGAGCCAAUUCUUAACAGCUGAAAACACGGCUGGACGCCAGACAACAUUUUCUCCGCAAGAAAACAGCCACAACUACACUCGGAAGUGCUUUGAAAUUUGGCGCGCCAGGAGAGGUUUCCUUGCGCGAGAUUAACGCCACUUCCGACUCUCUUUGUCGCAGGAGUUUGUCAAAGGAGAACACCAGGCUACUUUCGUAAGGUGAAGGUAGGCCUACUUUUAACCUUGUUUUGUAUGACCACUAGUGAAGAACCUAUAGUCUCUUAAUAUGCUCAGGUGGGUUAUCCAUAGCCUAAGUGUAAGAUGCUGAAGCAAAAUUCUAUCCAAGUAUGGAUAUUAUGCAAAUCUAAACAUUUAGAAUAAAUAUCAGUAUUUAUCCCCAUGUUAUAAUUCCACAUUGUUGAUUAUAAUUGUUUAUUGAUUAUUACAUGGGUACUGGACUACUUCAUAAAAAUAGGCUCUCCUAAACUUAAACAUGCUUAACUAAUAAGUUAUUAAUUGAAGAGACAAUGGAACAUUCUUUUAUUAGUGUUUUUCAUUCAGGAAAAGGGAUGUUGUACAAAAGUGUGCAUGAACAUAAAUACUGAGAAGGCAUUAAACCUUUUAUGGCCUUUCAAAAAAUGUUAUAAAAUUUAAUUAUUUGUGUACAUUAUUGUUAAUGUCAAUGUCUAGAACAAUCUAAAUGCCUUCUUCCAAAACAGAUCCUUGGACAACCAACCUUGACAAACUGCUUUAGCAUUUCAUCUGACAUAAGUCAUCUGUAAAUUUUAUACACAUACAAUCCAAACUCAUAUGUUGUACUUCAGAUUCAAAUUCAGCUCAAUGACUUUAUAUUACAUUUUAAAUAAUUAAACUUCAGUUCAAGAUGUUUCUUCUUGUUUGUGCAUAGUCCACUCUGGUUAGAUAUAAAGAAUGCACUGUUAUUUGUACGAUAUUAUUUCAUACCAUAUGACAAAGAAUUAACCCAACUGAUUUGGAAUCUUUACAAUUUUUUAACAUAACACAAGAUUGUGACUAACCAUUUGUUUAUAUUUUGCAUCUCAAUUAAAUUGAAAUCUUGAAAUAUGUUUUGUCUCACUGGUGGUGUUGACUGUUCACAAAUACUCCAGAGCACUUCUCCAAAAUCAUUAGACACAGUAUAUGGAUAAUUUGGAAACAAAGCAGUUUGAUACAGGGCAAUGUUGUAUACAUCAGUACAUUGCCAGAAAUGUGAAAAAGAGGCUGUAGAUGGACAGAAUCAAAUAUGUAGUGCAACUGAAUAAGUUGCAGGCAAUUGUAAGAUAUAACAGAAAAUACCUUCCCCUUUCUGCAAAAUCUUUAGAAGAAUUUCCUUUGAGGAAGGUCACUAUUGCUUGACUAGAAGGUAGGAAAGGACUUUAAAUCAUGAAAAUUUCUACAUCCUGAGCAAGACUAUCAUGCCUAAGUAGUUGUGAUAAAACACUAUGCAGUCAAAGUACUGCUAAUAUGUUUUUUAUAGCCAGUAUUGUUUUUAUAAAAAGAGGAAUGAAUGAAUUGCCAAGGACAUGGGAUGUUAGACUGACAUUAAGAAUACGUUGUGGGCAUCAUAAAUGCAGUAGGAGCAAGACUAGUUCAUUUAACCAGCUAUGAAGUCUACUGUCAAUCAAGCAAGCUAUUGACAAACAUGCUGAAAUAACAAUAUUUUCUAGGUAUAUUUACAUUUAUGACAGCAUAUUUAUUAAGUAAAACACUAUAAUAUAUAUAGAGUAUAAUAGUAUGUCUAGUAGUCUUGGUGCAAUAUUUGCAUAAUUGAAACACAUUCUCCAACACAAAUAAAGGCAAAUAAUAAUUUCUAGUGCAAUAAUGUGAACAAUUUUAGAAAGCAUUUGUCAGAGAAAAACAGUAAGAAAGCUAGUGAGAGCUUAAAGAAGAAAGUUACAGAUAAUGAAGCAAAGAGUAGCAAUCAAGGGAUCAGAAAAUCUUGCACCUUCUUGGUGUGUGUGUGUGUGUGUAUAUAUAUAUAUACACACACACACACACAUGCAAUAUAUACAAAAGUAAGGGUACCUUUUCUCAAAAGAUGUAUGUGUUGAAACUUACAGUUGCAUCUCCCUUGUGUAGGGGGUGCAAGGUGUGUGUGUAUGUGGGUACUUGUCUGUCUGCACCAUCAGUAUUUGGAUUUGAAGAAGGAGAGUCCUUCUUCCAAAGAAUGCUUUGCAGUACCAAUGUAGUAUUUCAGUGCGCAUAUUAUUGUAUAUUGCAUUUUUAUAUAGCUGUACCUGCAUAUUGUUUUGUAAUGGUCAAGCAAUACGUUGUAUUGAUUACAAUCUACCAUCUCAACUCCAUAAAUUAAUAAAUACAUUUUUAUAGCUAA
Electrophorus electricus (electric eel) is the source of this 2334-nucleotide long non-coding RNA. RefSeq lists it as uncharacterized. The record is from RefSeq and is a predicted model, not a curated record. NCBI's taxonomy places the organism in Eukaryota, Metazoa, Chordata, Actinopteri, Gymnotiformes, Gymnotidae.